CUCAUUGGCUACAACAACAUUGAUGCAUUUUUUGCGCGAAGAUGGAGGCCUCCCUUUGUCUUCGCCAAAGCCAGUAGGAAAUUACUGUGCCUCUAACCUCCUGAGAAAAUCCCCAGACCAUUGCAGGAGCAUUCUACUGAUUGGACUCCCUGCUACUAAAAACACGUUUCUCUGCUCAGCCUUCCUCCUUGGUCUGCAAUCUUGGCUUCAAGAUAGAAGCCUUUCCCUAGUCAAGGCUAAUCCCUUGGUAAUUGGAGUCCCACGGUCUUCUGGAGAACUGUAAGAGCCAAUCACUCCUGCUCUGAAAUUGUUCACCUGUUUUUCUCUCAAGGCCUUUUCUCUUCAUUGUAUAAGCAUAGCUAUGUCCCUUUCUUCUUGUAUAACAGACAUCCCUGUUUACCUCGAGUCAUCUCCCUAUACCUUUCUUCAUAGUCAAGUUUUAUUAAAAAC
Pan paniscus (pygmy chimpanzee) is the source of this 450-nucleotide long non-coding RNA. The record is from Ensembl. NCBI's taxonomy places the organism in Eukaryota, Metazoa, Chordata, Mammalia, Primates, Hominidae.